This 1526-nucleotide ribosomal RNA is filed under the name Clostridioides difficile. RNAcentral describes it as "bacterial LSU rRNA". It matches the Rfam family "Bacterial large subunit ribosomal RNA", at positions 1 to 1536 of the family's 2925-position model. The record is from RNAcentral. Lineage: Bacteria; Bacillati; Bacillota; Clostridia; Peptostreptococcales; Peptostreptococcaceae.
UGGUCAAGUUAUUAAGGGUGCAGGGCGGAUGCCUUGGCACUAGGAGCCGAUGAAGGACGUGAUAAGCUGCGAUAAGCUUCGGGGAGUUGCACGUAAACUUUGAUCCGAAGAUUUCCGAAUGAGGAAACUCACUUAGAGUAAUGUCUAAGUAUCAUUAAGUGAAUACAUAGCUUAAUGAGGGGAACUCAGGGAACUGAAACAUCUAAGUACCUGAAGGAAGAGAAAGAAAUUCGAUUCCGUAAGUAGCGGCGAGCGAACGCGGAUUAGCCCAAACCAAUAAAGUUUUCUUUAUUGGGGUUGCGGACAUAUCAUAACGAAGAGGUAUCGUAAUUGAAGAGGUUUGGAAAGACCCACCACAGAAGGUAAUAGUCCUGUAUGUUAAACGAGAAGACUUUAGAUAUGAUCCAGAGUACCACGGGACACGUGAAACCCUGUGGGAAGCAGGAGGGACCACCCUCCAAGGCUAAAUACUACCUAGUGACCGAUAGCGUAUAGUACCGUGAGGGAAAGGUGAAAAGAACCCCGGGAGGGGAGUGAAAUAGAACCUGAAACCCUGCACUUACAAGCUGUGGAAGCACAUUUCUUGUGUGACCGCGUACUUUUUGUAGAACGGGCCAACGAGUUACGUUAAGUAGCAAGGUUAAGCACUUAAGGUGCGGAGCCGUAGCGAAAGCGAGUUUUAACUGAGCGUUCAGUUACUUGACGUAGACCCGAAACCGGGCGACCUACCCAUGAGCAGGAUGAAGCGAAAGUAAAAUUUCGUGGAGGUCCGAACCCACGAGCGUUGAAAAGCUCGGGGAUGACUUGUGGGUAGCGGUGAAAUUCCAAUCGAGCCCGGAGAUAGCUGGUUCUCCCCGAAAUAGCUUUAGGGCUAGCCUCAAGGUGAGAGAUACGGAGGUAGAGCACUGAAUGUCCUAGGGGGUAUUGCACCUACCGAAGACUAUCAAACUCCGAAUGCCGUCAUCUUAUACUUGGGAGUCAGACUGUGGGUGAUAAGAUUCAUAGUCGAAAGGGCAACAGCCCAGAUCGUCAGCUAAGGUCCCUAAAUGUAAGUUAAGUGGUAAAGGAUGUGGGAUUGCACAGACAACCAGGAUGUUGGCUUAGAAGCAGCCACUCAUUCAAAGAGUGCGUAAUAGCUCACUGGUCGAGUGAUCCUGCGCCGAAGAUUUCCGGGGCUAAAACUUACUACCGAAGCUACGGCAUCAGUAAUGAUGGGUAGGGGGGCUUCCCAUACGGGUUGAAGCAUGACCGUAAGGACAUGUGGACAGUAUGGGAGUGAGAAUGUUGGCAUGAGUAGCGAGAUGUGGGUGAGAAUCCCACAGGCCGUAAACCCAAGGUUUCCAGGGGAAGGUUCGUCCGCCCUGGGUUAGUCGGGACCUAAGCUGAGGCCGAAAGGCGUAGGUGAUGGACAACAGGUUGAUAUUCCUGUACUACCGAUAACCGUUUGAGAGAAGGGAUGACACAGUAGGAUAAGCUAAGCACACUGUUGGUUAUGUGUGCCCAAGCAUUGAGGCAGUCAAAGUAGG